Molecule: ribosomal RNA, 460 nt
Filed under: uncultured bacterium
Lineage: Bacteria
Description: partial 16S ribosomal RNA
Rfam family: Bacterial small subunit ribosomal RNA
Source: RNAcentral
CCUACGUGCGGCAGCAGUGAGGAAUAUUGGUCAAUGGGCGCGAGCCUGAACCAGCCAAGUCGCGUGAGGGAUGAAGGUUCUAUGGAUCGUAAACCUCUUUUAUAAGGGAAUAAAGUGUGGGACGUGUCCUAUUUUGUAUGUACCUUAUGAAUCAGGAUCGGCUAACUCCGUGCCAGCAGCAGCGGUAAUACGGAGGAUCCGAGCGUUAUCCGGAUUUAUUGGGUUUAAAGGGUGCGUAGGCGGGCUUUUAAGUCAGCGGUGAAAGUCUGUGGCUCAACCAUAGAAUUGCCGUUGAAACUGGGGGGCUUGAGUAUGUUUGAGGCAGGCGGAAUGCGUGGUGUAGCGGUGAAAUGCAUAGAUAUCACGCAGAACCCCGAUUGCGAAGGCAGCAUACCGGUGCACAACUGACGCUGAGGCACGAAAGCGUGGGUAUCGAACAGGAUUAGAUACCCCAGUAGUC